GGGGGGGCGGGGCGGCGGCCCCUGGCCGGGACUGCUGGCAGCUGGUGAGGGGGAGGGGAGCCCAGGGGGCGGCCGCAAGGACGAGUCAAGGAGAGAGGCAGGACCACCGGCCCUUCCGCUGGCCCACAGGCUAGGGGUCAAAUCCAAGCUGUAGACGGCCUACACCACAGCCACAGGAAUGCCAGAUCUGAGCCACAUCUGUGACCUAGAUCUCAGCUCAAAGCCGGAUCCUUAGCCCACUGAGCAACACCAGGGAUCGAACCUGAGUCCUCUGGUUACCAGUCAGAUUAAUUUCCGCUGAGCCACAACGGGAACUCCCAGCAGUUUUAUCCCCAGUGCCCUGACCCCAAACCUGGGCCAAGCUGACCAGCCAGGGGGUUGAGGAUGGGGCAGGCAGCAGAGGAGGGCCAAGGGAGCCUCCCCGCCCCCUCUUUCCCUCCCCCCACCCCCAGCAGGCCAGCUGUUCUCCAGCUGCCAGAGGCUCCCACCCUAGAAGUAGCAGUGCUUGUGCUUUGGUCGCUCUGCUUGGGACUGGAGAGUGAGGCGGGUGGGCUGAAGAUGGUGUCUGCCUCCCCCUCCCCGCCAGCCCAGCCCGAGGACCCCUGGGGGACCCUGCCAAGCGGCCACACCCUGCCAGGCUGGGGAGGGAGUACCCUCCUCCCUGGAGCAGGGUCAAGAUUUUUACAGGAGGAAGCAAUUUGCAGGGCCCCCUAGGAGGGGGUGGAGGGGGGCUCCCCCUCCUCAGCUUAUUAAUGUGCUUCCAAUUUGCGGACCACGUCUCUCCACAUCCACGACUGGGGCACAGGCUUCUGGUGGAGCAGAGGGGGCUGGCGUAGCCCCCAGGCCCCCUUCCCCUAAGCUCUUCUUCAUUGUCACCGCCUCCACCCCCCAUCAGGGUCCGAGGGAGGGAAGAGACUCAGAGCCAGGGAACCUCCUGCAGAGAGAAAGGGCCCAGUUCCCAGACCUCCCUGCACCCCGACUCUAUCCUGUCAGCUCACCUUGUCCCACUCCAGGCUGGAGGGGACGGGGAUGCAGCCAAUGGGUAACUUGGGAAACUGGGUUUCACAGGUCUCAGUGAAUGCGCCGUCGGAGGGCCCUGCCUCAACCUGCCUGCACUCUGGCCCCUUGGACUCUGGGUCACCCACUGAGCUGCCACUGGUCACUCAGUCAGUUCCCCCCUCAAAAGUCUCCCAAUGUCAAUGUGGUCUGUAAACACACAGGCUCUCCUCUGGCCCCUCAGCUCGAUCUCUCCCACACACAAUUCUCUUCAUAGCCACUGUCCUGCACAUUCAGGGUUACCUGCAUCUCUCGUUACUUUUUUAAAAAAUGGUGUGUUUUUUUGUUUGGGUUUUUUUUUUUCUUUUUUUUUCUUUUUUAGGGUUGCAGUUGCGACAAAAGAAGUUCCAAGUUUUGGGGUUGAAUUGGAGCUACAGCUGCCGGCCUACACCACAGCCACAGGAACGUGGGAUCCGAACCACAUCUGUGACCCACACCACAGCUCACGGCAACGCCAGAUCCUUAACCCACUGAGCGAGAGCAGGAAUCGAACCCGCAUCCUCAUGGAUACUAGUCAGGUUCGUUCCUGCUGAACCACAAUGGGAACUCAAAAACAAACAAACAAACAAACAAACAAAAAAACCCAAACAAAAAAGCUUUUUAUUGUGAUAAAAUAUACCUAAUAAAAAAUAUACCACU
Molecule: long non-coding RNA, 1695 nt
Filed under: Sus scrofa (pig)
Lineage: Eukaryota; Metazoa; Chordata; Mammalia; Artiodactyla; Suidae
Description: lncRNA (ENSSSCG00015037023.1)
Source: RNAcentral